GCGAACUGCUCAGUAACACGUAGCUAACCUGCCCUAACUUCUGGAAUAACCUCGGGAAACUGAGGCUAACACCGGAUAGAGAAAAACCACUGGAAUGUAUUUUCUUCCAAGUUAGGAUGGGGCUGCGGCUGAUUAGCUUGUUGGCGGGGUAAUGGCCCACCAAGGCUUCGAUCAGUAAGGGCUCUUAGCGGAGGGGCCCUGAGAGGGAAUCUGAGACACUAUUCCCAGCCCUACGGGGUGCAGCAGUCGGGAAACUUCUGCAAUACACGAAAGUGUGACAGAGCGAGCCAGAGUGCGAUUCUAUAACUGAAUCGCUUUUAUGCGAUGUAAAAAGUCGCAUGAAUAAGGACUGGGUAAGACUGGUGCCAGCCGCCGCGGUAAUACCAGCGGUCCAAGUGGCAGCCGCGUUUAUUGGGUCUAAAACAUCCGUAGCUUGUUUCGUAAGUCUCUUGUGAAAUCUGGCCUCUCAAGGGUCAGGCGUGCAAGAGAUACUGCGUUGCUAGAGACCGGGAGGCGUAAGGAGUACGGUUAGGGUAGCGGUUAAAUGCGUUGAUCCUUACUGGACUAACGAUAGCGCAGGCACCUUACGAGAACGGAUCUGACAGUGAGGGAUGAAGGCUAGGGUCGCAAAACGGAUUAGAUACCCGUGUAGUCCUAGCAGUAAACACUGCACACUAAACAUCGGUCCCUCUUCGAGAGGUAUCGGUGCUGUAGGGAAGCCGUAGAGUGUGCUACCUGGGAAGUAUAGUCGCAAGACCGAAACUUAAAGGAAUAGGCGGCGGGAUACUACAACCAGUGACGCGUGCGGUUCAAUUAGAUUCUACACCGUGAACCUCACCAGGAUCGACAGCAGAAUGAAGGUCAGUCUGAAGGGCUUACCUGACACGCUGAGAGGAGAUGCAUGGCCAACGUCAGCCUGUGUCGUGAGAUGAUCUGUUAAAUCAGGUAACAGGCGAGACCCGUAUACAUAUUUGCAAG
This 978-nucleotide ribosomal RNA is filed under the name uncultured euryarchaeote. Its description in RNAcentral is "partial 16S ribosomal RNA". It matches the Rfam family "Archaeal small subunit ribosomal RNA", at positions 81 to 1070 of the family's 1478-position model. Lineage: Archaea; Methanobacteriati; Methanobacteriota. The record is from RNAcentral.